UACGAAGGGGGCUAGCGUUGCUCGGAAUCACUGGGCGUAAAGGGUGCGUAGGCGGGUCUUUAAGUCAGGGGUGAAGUCCUGGAGCUCAACUCCAGAACUGCCUUUGAUACUGAGGAUCUUGAGUUCGGGAGAGGUGAGUGGAACUGCGAGUGUAGAGGUGAAAUUCGUAGAUAUUCGCAAGAACACCAGUGGCGAAGGCGGCUCACUGGCCCGAUACUGACGCUGAGGCACGAAAGCGUGGGGAGCAGACAGG
This 253-nucleotide ribosomal RNA is filed under the name uncultured bacterium. RNAcentral describes it as "partial 16S ribosomal RNA". It matches the Rfam family "Bacterial small subunit ribosomal RNA", at positions 524 to 776 of the family's 1533-position model. The record is from RNAcentral.